This 631-nucleotide ribosomal RNA is filed under the name Dolicholaimus sp. TCR114. Its description in RNAcentral is "eukaryotic LSU rRNA". It matches the Rfam family "Eukaryotic large subunit ribosomal RNA", at positions 406 to 900 of the family's 3401-position model. Lineage: Eukaryota; Metazoa; Nematoda; Enoplea; Enoplida; Ironidae. The record is from RNAcentral.
CGCUUAGAAGGAAACGGAUGGAGCUGCCAUGCAGUCCGUAGGAUUCAGCUCGUCGGUUUAAGGCCUCGGCCUUUUUCGGCGGGUGCACUUUCUACGGACGCGCGCUACGACCGUUUGCUAGCCUGGCGCCAGACCCGUCGGUUGCCGGCCUGGAUACGUUCAGGUCUCCCGCCUUCGUUGUCUGCCCGAGUGCUUUGGCGAACGAGAGCCUGCCGUGCAUGCUGUCGCAGUCCCGGUCGUUUGGUUUUCGGAUUGAAACUUCGAGUGUCUGCUUGCAGGCCUUGGAAACCCUCCGUUACCUGCGGUCCGGUUGAUUGCCACUGCACUAAUGGUCUGUGGCGUCCGCGUCAGCCACCCAUCCGACCCGUCUUGAAACACGGACCAAGGAGUCUAACAUGUGCGCAAGUCAUUGACUUGUAAGGUCAAAGGCGCAAUGAAAGUAAACGGCUUGCUUGUCGAGCCGGAGGAGAGAUCCCUUCAGGGCGCAUCUCCGUCUCGUCCAUUCUGCUUGUCAGAUGGGCGACGAAAGAGCGUACACGUUGGGACCCGAAAGAUGGUGAACUAUGCCUGAGCAGGAUGAAGUCAGAGGAAACUCUGAUGGAGGUCCGUAGCGGUUCUGACGUGCAAAUCG